Molecule: transfer RNA, 76 nt
Filed under: Bacteroidota bacterium
Lineage: Bacteria; Pseudomonadati; Bacteroidota
Description: tRNA-His
Rfam family: tRNA
About the family: Transfer RNA (tRNA) molecules are approximately 80 nucleotides in length. Their secondary structure includes four short double-helical elements and three loops (D, anti-codon, and T loops).
Source: RNAcentral
GGUGGAUUUAGCUCAGCAGGUUAGAGCGUCGGAUUGUGGUUCCGCAGGCCGAGGGUUCGAAUCCCUCACUCCACCC